UUUUAACCUUCUCUCUGAAAAAUAUUGUCUAAUAUAUAUUUUCCCCUUUUUGAUGCUGGGGAUUAUAUUUUCUUUUUAAUAGCUCUCUCUCUCUCUCUCUCUCUCUCUAUCUCUCUCUCUCUCUCUUAUCUAGCAAUUCUCCUUUUCUUGUAGAUGGCAUUUAAGUUCCCCCUGGCCAAGACAGGAACCUCUCUCCUUAUUGAAUAGGAUCUGAUUUCAUGCAACUUAUGACAUGCUCCUCAAUCAUCUGGGGAAAUUCCUGGAUCUGGGCUUCUCUACAUAUGUGCAGUAACUCUGCUGAGACCAGGGGAGAGGAGGGACUUUGUAUAUUCAUCUGCAGAGUGUGAAAGGCACAUAAGUGAACCAGCUUCUGCAUGACCUGCCCUUGGCAGCUGCUGGGGGUACAGGGUCAGUAGUCUCUAAGACACAGCAACAGAAAUAAAAAGGCUAAGCAUUAGUCACCUCCAAAGUCACCUUUGCCCCUUUCUCACCAUAGUGGCAGCAUGUCAUGUUGUAGAAACAGUUGUUACUCCACACCCCUCAGGAAUAAGUGUUCUCUUUCCUGGACAGUUGAGUCUUCCUAGAUAGUAACAUGAACUAGGAGGGGAAUUGACAGGUAAUGAGGUAGAUGUCAUGUUAGGUACUUCAUAUAGGUUUGCUAACCUCAUUCUUUUAACAAUCCUUUGAGGAUAGUAUUAAUACCCUCACUUUACAGAUGAGGAAGCUGAGUUUCAGGAAGGUUAAUGGCUUGCCAAGGUGAAGGCUGCUGAAUGUCAGAAUGGGGAUUUGAACCCAAGUAUGUCUAGGAGAUCUUCAUUAGAUCACUCUGAAUGUUGAAGAAAAUGGUGGCCCAUGUUCCCAGGAAACCUAAAAAUAACCAUGCUCUGUGUUAAGGACAUACCAAAGACGUGC
RNAcentral lists this long non-coding RNA (912 nucleotides) under Marmota monax (woodchuck). Lineage: Eukaryota; Metazoa; Chordata; Mammalia; Rodentia; Sciuridae. The record is from RNAcentral.